CAGCCGCCGCGGUAAUACGUAGGUGGCAAGCGUUGUCCGGAGUUAUUGGGCGUAAAGGGCUCGCAGGCGGUUUCUUAAGUCUGAUGUGAAAGCCCCCGGCUCAACCGGGGAGGGUCAUUGGAAGCUGGGAAACUUGAGUGCAGGAGAGGAGAGUGGAAUUCCACGUGUAGCGGUGAAAUGCGUAGAGAUGUGGAGGAACACCAGUGGCGAAGGCGACUCUCUGGUCUGUAACUGACGCUGAGGAGCGAAAGCGUGGGGAGCGAACAGGAUUAGAGACCCCCGUAGUCCCUGUCUCUUAUAC
Molecule: ribosomal RNA, 301 nt
Filed under: uncultured bacterium
Lineage: Bacteria
Description: partial 16S ribosomal RNA
Rfam family: Bacterial small subunit ribosomal RNA
Source: RNAcentral